AGAGUUUGAUCAUGGCUCAGAGUGAACGCUGGCGGCAGGCCUAAUACAUGCAAGUCGAACGGCAGCACAGUGGAGCUUGCUCCAUGGGUGGCGAGUGGCGGACGGGUGAGGAAUACAUGGGAAUCUGCCCAGUCGUGGGGGAUAACGUAGGGAAACUUACGCUAAUACCGCAUGCGCCCUUCGGGGGAAAGCCGGGGACCGUAAGGCCUGGCGCGAUUGGAUGAGCCCAUGUCGGAUUAGCUAGUUGGCGGGUAACGGCCCACCAAGGCGACGAUCCGUAGCUGGUCUGAGAGGAUGAUCAGCCACACUGGAACUGAGACACGGUUCAGACUCCUACGGGAGGCAGCAGUAGGGAAUAUUGGACAAUGGGCGCAAGCCUGAUCCAGCCAUGCCGCGUGAGUGAAGAAGGCCCUCGGGUUGUAAAGCUCUUUUGUCCGGAAAGAAAAGCACUGGGUUAAUACCCCGGUGUCCUGACGGUACCGGAAGAAUAAGCACCGGCUAACUUCGUG
RNAcentral lists this ribosomal RNA (509 nucleotides) under uncultured bacterium. RNAcentral's name for it is "bacterial SSU rRNA". It matches the Rfam family "Bacterial small subunit ribosomal RNA", at positions 8 to 507 of the family's 1533-position model. The record is from RNAcentral.